UUCAAGAGAACGUGAAAUCGUUGAAGUGGAACCGGAGAGAGUUGACGUAGUAUGGUGGAUAAGUAUUGCAAGAAUCGCUUCAAACAAUGAAUGUGAUCGAGUAAUAUGUACGUCACCAAAGACUGCGCUGACAGCAUCGACUACACGCUCUGAACUGUGUUGACAUGUUGCCUAUUCUAGUAUAUAGAAUGGUGUCUUGUGUUACGUGGUGAAGUUUGUUGUUAUGUUGUUGAUGUUGAUAAGUAUGAUUAUACACCAAGUAUAAUUAUGUCAGUGUAAAAGUCAACCACCUCUCCGACCCGUCUUGAAACACGGACCGAGGAGUGUAACUUGUACGCGAGUCAUUGGGUGGAAAAACCUUAAGGCGAAACGAAAGUGAAGGCACGGUUAACCGGCUGACAUGGGAAACGUGCGGUAUUGUUAGCGAGACGUUACACCAUGGCCCUGUCUUGUCUGCAUGCAGAUGGGCAGCGGUAGAGCGUACAGGUUGCGACCCGAAAGAUGGUGAACUAUGCCUGAGCAGGACGAAGUCAGAGGAAACUCUGGUGGAAGUCCGUAUCGGUUCUGACGUGCAAAUCGAUCGAUAGACUUGGGUAUAGGGGCGAAAGACUAAU
Molecule: ribosomal RNA, 614 nt
Filed under: Crenosoma striatum
Lineage: Eukaryota; Metazoa; Nematoda; Chromadorea; Rhabditida; Crenosomatidae
Description: eukaryotic LSU rRNA
Rfam family: Eukaryotic large subunit ribosomal RNA
Source: RNAcentral